RNAcentral lists this ribosomal RNA (253 nucleotides) under uncultured bacterium. RNAcentral describes it as "partial 16S ribosomal RNA". It matches the Rfam family "Bacterial small subunit ribosomal RNA", at positions 524 to 776 of the family's 1533-position model. The record is from RNAcentral.
UACAGAGGUCUCAAGCGUUGUUCGGAUUUAUUGGGUUUAAAGGGUGCGUAGGCGGCUUUGUAAGUCAGUGGUGAAAUACGGUAGCUCAACUAUCGAGGUGCCAUUGAUACUGCAGAGCUUGAGUACAGAUGAGGUAGGCGGAAUUGACGGUGUAGCGGUGAAAUGCUUAGAUAUCGUCAAGAACUCCUAUAGCGAAGGCAGCUUACUAGGCUUUAACUGACGCUGAGGCACGAAAGUGUGGGGAUCAAACAGG